GACGAACCGUCCAAACGUUAUUCGGAAUCACUGGGCUUACAGAGUUCGUAGGCGGUCUGGAAAGUUGGGUGUGAAAUCCCUCGGCCUAACCGAGGAACUGCGCUUGAAACUACCAGACUCGAGGGAGAUAGAGGAAAGCGGAACUGAUGGUGGAGCGGUGAAAUGCGUUGAUAUCAUCAGGAACACCGGUGGCGAAGGCGGCUUUCUGGGUCUUACCUGACGCUGAGGAACGAAAGCCAGGGGAGCAAACGGG
This 253-nucleotide ribosomal RNA is filed under the name uncultured bacterium. RNAcentral describes it as "partial 16S ribosomal RNA". It matches the Rfam family "Bacterial small subunit ribosomal RNA", at positions 524 to 776 of the family's 1533-position model. The record is from RNAcentral.